Molecule: ribosomal RNA, 279 nt
Filed under: uncultured bacterium
Lineage: Bacteria
Description: partial 16S ribosomal RNA
Rfam family: Bacterial small subunit ribosomal RNA
Source: RNAcentral
UGCCAUCCGCCGCGGUAAUACGAGAGGCCCGAGCGUUAAUCGGAAUCACUGGGCUUAAAGGGUGCGUAGGCGGACCAGAAGGUGUGUCGUGAAAUCCCCCGGCUCAACCGGGGAACUGCGGUGCAAACCACUGGUCUUGAGGUAGGUAGAGGUCGUCGGAACGUUCGGUGGAGCGGUGAAAUGCGUAGAUAUCGAACGGAACGCCAAAGGUGAAGACAGGCGACUGGGCCUUACCUGACGCUGAGGCACGAAAGCGUGGGGAGCAAACAGGAUUAGAUA